Homo sapiens (human) is the source of this 4384-nucleotide long non-coding RNA. RefSeq annotates it as BLK antisense RNA 1. The record is from RefSeq and is a predicted model, not a curated record. Lineage: Eukaryota; Metazoa; Chordata; Mammalia; Primates; Hominidae. The transcript has 4 exons.
UAGGAGACAGCGGAGGGUGAGAGAAGGAAGGGGAAAGGAAGCAGCAGCAGUGGGCAGGCUUAUCACUGCCCUGGGGUUUGAAGCCGGUUACCAGCACUCAUUUUCCAAAACCAGCCUGCCCAGAUGGCUGUCUGCCCACCUCAGCGGAAAAAGGCGUUGUGGCAUCAGUUCCUGCAGCGGCACUACUGGGGCCACCAGAUGUGCUUCCUGCCAGCUAGAGCUCUCGGCUAAAACCCUCCUCUCCACUCUGCUCUUCACCCCAUGGAGUCCAGAAGGUUCUGCAUGUGAACGUGAGGGACACUGAGGACCAGUCCUGGGUAGCCGAGGAGGUCCAGCACUCGCAAUUCCCUGGUGGCAGAAGGUGGGGCUGUCCUCCAGGGCUCAGAGAAGUCAUGUCCCUGGCAUCUGUGUGUAGCUCAGGCCUGCCCAUCAGCCUGGGGUCGACGCCAGGGCUGUGCAAAGGCUGAGGGCCCCUGGGAUGGGAAGUCCUACAGGAGAUGUUUGUGGGCACCAUCUAAGGAAGAGAUGAGGUCACAACAGAACACACUUGCCUGCCGGGUUCAAUGGAACUCUUGCUAACUCUGUGUGUUUCCCAUGACAUUCAUUCGCCCUCUCUUCCUUCGGAACAGAAUAACCUCAUUCCAACACAGCUGCCCGGGUCUAAGGCUCCAUUCCCUGGGCUCCCUCACAGCUGCGUGGGGCAGGAGGCACAGUGGCCAGGGUUUGCAAGUCCAAGUGCAGUGGGUGACCUUGGGGAUAUCUGCCUAGAGGAAGGUGGCCUUCAGUACCCCCUGACUUCUCCUGCUGGCUGAGAGGAUGGGGUGGUAAGGCACGAGCAGCCAUUGUGGACAGCAGGUGGCACAUGCCGCCCUUCCUCUGCACCUGGUACUUCACCAACCUGCGCCGACAUGUCAAUCAGCCUUGGGAGUGACAAUCUGCUCCCUUCAUCUGUCUUCAGGAAAUCCAGCAGGCAUCCUAAGAAAAGAGAAGUUGCAAGUGCCCUUCUGCAAAGUGACCCGCCCCUGGUGGUGCCAGCCUCUCUCUGGUGUGAGUGGCUCCCCAUGGGCGCGGGAAGUGGGAGUUUGCACCCUCAGAUCUCUCGGUGCAUCAGGAAGGAUCUACCUACUGCUGCCGAGUGCCUUCCACUUUACAAAAUGCCAGUCUCAGCACCCCGGGAGGCAGCCAAUAUACCAGCAGUUGCCCAGAAGUUAGGUUUCAGCCAGGUGCAGGGACCUGUCUGAAGUCACCCAGCCGGGAGCUGCGAGUGGGACCCCAGUUCUGACUCGAAGUUUCAUGCCCCUUCUUGUCUUUCCCCCCGUGUUGGCCUCGCUCCCUUGAUCCCUGCUGGCAGACACCCUCUGCCUCUGAGGACCAGGCAUCAGCAAGAAAGCACCAGAAUGGAGAGAACUGUCCCCCAGGUUUGGUGCAGGGGACAAAUGCAGCUCCCCCUGGAAUCAGAAAGCUGGGAGGGAUGGAUGCUUGCCCUAGGGGCAGGCUAGAGGCACCCCCAGCACAGCCUCCGACCGGGGGCCCCUUGGUGACAGUUGUUAGGGAGCUAUAUCAACAUGGGCAUGUUAGGAUCCUAUAGGAGCAGUGUGCGGUCAGGGUCAUAGGAGGGUGAGAAAGUGGCAUGAGAACUUGGCCACGCCGUGGACCUCAGAGGCCAUCAAGCCCAACCUCUCUGGCCAUCCUUGUAAAAUAUUCACACAGUUGUAAAUGGUUGCAUGACCAGGAGGCAGGAGACCUGGAUCUAGUACUGUCCCUGCAUGCCUGGCCUGGUGUUCGUUUGACUUUGCAAUGCUCUGUCCCUCCCAGCAGGCAUCAAAGAGUGCUAGGCACAGAAGAUGCACUCCAGAAAUGCUGUCUGAACUGCUCCUGGGCUGAGAACAUGGCUCUGUCAGAACCACUUCACCCUCCUGUUUCUCACCCUCCCUCUGUCCCUCCCCCUCCCUCCAUCCCUCCCUGUCCCCACACCGUGCCAUGCCCUAGAUCUGCAGGACCCCCGGCCUGGUGAACCCACCGCAGCGGACCCUCCUCCUCCUGCUAAGCCCGGCCCUCCCGCCUCGCUCUGAGGAUGCGGCUCUGCGGGGGGCACCACCUCUGGCCAUGUACUCGGUGACAAUGUAGAUGGGCUCCUUGGUGACCACUGCGUAGAGUCGGACCAGCCGCUCGUGCUGCAGAGCCUUCAUCACGUUGGCCUCACCCAGGAAGGCUUCUGGAGACAUGGUUCCCUCCUUCAGCGUCUUAAUGGCCACCUUCAUGUUGUUUUUGUAGUAACCUGAGCCCGGGGGAGUGAAGAAGCCAAUCAGAAGACAGAGAGCUUGCUCGGAGGUGAUCCCUUAACCAAAAUCGGGGUAAGUGCCCAGGUGCCACCCCAUUCCAGGUGCCAGAGCUGGAACAUGCAGUUCCGGAGGCCAUGGUUGUGUGGUGCCUACCUUGCGUUCCAGGUCCCUUCUAUAUGGGGCCUCAGGCAGUGGAGGAAUGUACCCUGCCUGGGGGGCAUUUCACCUAUUUGCCCCACACCCUGGGCCUGUGUCCUUCUGUCCUGCACGGAACCUGUGUCCUUCCCCCACCCCUCCCCUACAUAAUGAGUCUCUUCUAUCACACAAUAACUCCUUGGUGGAAAUAAGCACACAGCCUGGGGUACACUGGGCAGGAGGAUGACGCAUGGGGGUCUCCUUCUCUCCUUCUGAAGCCCCAUGGCGAUCCUGUCCCACUCCUUAAACUAUCUGUAUCUCCACACUCUCCCUGUACUCCAUGAAGUCCCCUGAAGGGCAAAAGACAACUCUACUUGCUUUUCUAGAGGACAUGGGCCUUGGCAGGGACCUGGGUACAGCUCCUGCCAAAAGCACCGUGGGCAUCAGCCCCAGGUAAGGGAGCACUCAUGGACCAGCCCCAGGUAAGGGAGGACUCAUGGACCAAUCCAGGGAUAAAACGGAACACGAGUUUUAUAUCCUGGUGGGCGGGGGGGGAAGGGGGCAGGUGUCAGCAGCGAUGGAAAUGUGAGGACACCAGGCCUGGAGCUUCAGUGACUUGGCCAAAGUCCCACGGCUGCCCUCGGUGUGCACUCAGGCUCUGGAACAUCAUGGCUCAUCACGUUUAACCUCCUGUUUCCAUCUGGGUGAUGAAAAGCUAAGGGGAGUUAACGCGCCGCUGCAGCUCAUUGUCAAAGCCAGCUUCAGGCAGAGAACGAAGGAGGGAGCGACUUCGGGGCUGGGUUAAUGUUUUCCCGCAGGCAAGUGGUAGCAGAUGUCAAGGGUUAAGGACAAUUUAGGAGGUAAGAAUUUCCAGGCUGCACUUGUGUCGGGUGCCUCGGGCGAUGAGCCCAGGAGCCCGCUCUCCACGCAGUGACGCUUCCCAAGCUGGUGCUUUAGAGCCCUCACUUGCCUGGCUGCUCUGAGGCCCCGUCCCUGAUGGCUUCUGACAAUUUGGUGUCCUUUGUAAAGACGACCUCAGAUCCUAUCAGCUUCAGUUUCACAAAACCUGGAUCCCCUGCCUCUGUGGUAUGUCUGGACUGCCCUGGGCAGGCAGGGCCUGGCUCUGAGAUGAAGAUUUCUCAGCACUGAAGGACCGCCUGCCUUUGAGCUGUGAAACUAGUCUAUCCUCACAUAGACACCAGUAAACUGAGGCUUGAGAGGCUCAAGGACACCCCGGAGGCCACGAAGGGUAGAACUCACUCCCCUGCUUCCAUCCCUGUCUUGCAUUCACUGCUGUGGCUCGGAGAAGCAGAGGGGUCUUGCUUUGGAGUUGUGUGUGUGUGUGCAUAUGUACGUGUAAGGUGUGUACAUGUGUUGCACACGUGUUCAUUGCAUCUGUGCAUAUGUGCACAUGUAUAUGUGUGCAUGUGUGUGUAUAUGUGCAUGCGUGGACAUGUGUAUGUGUUUGCAUGUGUAUGUGUGCACACAUGCCUGUGUAUGCACAUGUGUGUAUAUGUGUGCAUUUGUGCAUAUGUGCAUGUGUGUUCAUGUGUGCAUGUGUAUGUGCGUGUGGUGGUGAUGAUGGUUGAACAGUCCUGCAGCCCUGGUCCCAUAUGGCCUAUUCCCAGCUUGGACUGGCUUCCUGGGGUGGACAUGGACAGGAAAAGAUGCCAGACUCAUAGAGAACCCCUUCUUCCUCCACACCAGAUUGGGCAGGGGGUGGGGAGGCUUUCACCUUAGCAAUAGGCAAUGGUUGAAAUAUCAUUUCCAGGGUGACAUGACAUGAUGUUUGGGAUUUACUUCGAAAGAACAGGGGUGGAGCGGGAGAUACAGAUGAAACAAGACUGGCUCAGUUGAUAAUUGUUGAAGCUGGCUGUUGGGUACCAGGGGUUCCACUAAACUAUUUUCUCUACUUCUGUGUAUGUUUGAAAUGUCCUGGAACAACAAUAAAACACUUAUGUCAUCUC